AGUGAACGCUGGCGGUAGGCCUAACACAUGCAAGUCGAACGGCAGCACAGUAAGAGCUUGCUCUUACGGGUGGCGAGUGGCGGACGGGUGAGGAAUACAUCGGAAUCUACUUUUUCGUGGGGGAUAACGUAGGGAAACUUACGCUAAUACCGCAUACGACCUACGGGUGAAAGCAGGGGAUCUUCGGACCUUGCGCGAUUGAAUGAGCCGAUGUCGGAUUAGCUAGUUGGCGGGGUAAAGGCCCACCAAGGCGACGAUCCGUAGCUGGUCUGAGAGGAUGAUCAGCCACACUGGAACUGAGACACGGUCCAGACUCCUACGGGAGGCAGCAGUGGGGAAUAUUGGACAAUGGGCGCAAGCCUGAUCCAGCCAUACCGCGUGGGUGAAGAAGGCCUUCGGGUUGUAAAGCCCUUUUGUUGGGAAAGAAAUCCAGCCGGCUAAUACCUGGUUGGGAUGACGGUACCCAAAGAAUAAGCACCGGCUAACUUCGUA
RNAcentral lists this ribosomal RNA (492 nucleotides) under uncultured bacterium. RNAcentral describes it as "partial 16S ribosomal RNA". It matches the Rfam family "Bacterial small subunit ribosomal RNA", at positions 29 to 507 of the family's 1533-position model. The record is from RNAcentral.